Molecule: ribosomal RNA, 441 nt
Filed under: uncultured bacterium
Lineage: Bacteria
Description: bacterial SSU rRNA
Rfam family: Bacterial small subunit ribosomal RNA
Source: RNAcentral
AACGCGAAGAACCUUACCUGGGCUCGAAGCACAGUGGACCGGGGUAGAAAUAUCCCUUUUCGCAAGAACUGCUGUGGAGGUGCUGCAUGGCUGUCGUCAGCUCGUGUCGUGAGAUGUUGGGUUAAGUCCCGCAACGAGCGCAACCCUUAUCGUUAGUUGCCAUCGGGUUAAGCUGGGCACUCUAAAGAGACUGCCGGUGACAAACCGGAGGAAGGUGGGGAUGACGUCAAGUCCUCAUGGCCUUUAUAUCCAGGGCUACACACGUGCUACAAUGGUCGGUACAAAGGGCUGCGAACCCGCGAGGGGGAGCUAAUCCCAAAAAGCCGGCCUCAGUUCGGAUUGGAGUCUGCAACUCGACUCCAUGAAGCUGGAAUUGCUAGUAAUCGCGGAUCAGAACGCCGCGGUGAAUACGUUCCCGGGCCUUGUACACACCGACUGUAC